CCAGACUCCUACGGGAGGCAGCAGUGGGGAAUAUUGCACAAUGGGGGAAACCCUGAUGCAGCAACGCCACGUGAGUGAGGAAGUAUUUCGGUAUGUAAAGCUCUAUCAGCAGGGAAUAGAAAAGAAGGUACCUGAAAAAGAAGCCCCGGCUAACUACGUGCCAGCAGCCGCGGUAAUACGUAGGGGGCAAGCGUUAUCCGGAUUUACUGGGUGUAAAGGGAGCGUAGACGGAAAGGCAAGUCAGAAGUGAAAGCCCAAGGCUCAACCAUGGGACUGCUUUUGGAACUGCGUGGCUAGAGUGCAGGAGGGGCAGGCGGAAUUCCUGGUGUAGCGGUGAAAUGCGUAGAUAUCAGGAGGAACACCGGUGGCGAAGGCGGCCUGCUGGACUGCAACUGACGUUGAGGCCCGAAAGCGUGGGGAGCAAACAGGAUUAGAUACCCUCGUAAAC
RNAcentral lists this ribosomal RNA (448 nucleotides) under uncultured bacterium. RNAcentral's name for it is "partial 16S ribosomal RNA". It matches the Rfam family "Bacterial small subunit ribosomal RNA", at positions 331 to 795 of the family's 1533-position model. The record is from RNAcentral.